Crocodylus porosus (Australian saltwater crocodile) is the source of this 119-nucleotide small nuclear RNA. Its record names the gene U2. It matches the Rfam family "U2 spliceosomal RNA". From Rfam's summary of the family: U2 is a small nuclear RNA (snRNA) component of the spliceosome (involved in pre-mRNA splicing). Complementary binding between U2 snRNA (in an area lying towards the 5' end but 3' to hairpin I) and the branchpoint sequence (BPS) of the intron results the bulging out of an unpaired adenosine, on the BPS, which initiates a nucleophilic attack at the intronic 5' splice site, thus starting the first of two transesterification reactions that mediate splicing. The record is from Ensembl. NCBI's taxonomy places the organism in Eukaryota, Metazoa, Chordata, Crocodylia, Crocodylidae.
UGUCCUCCAUAGGAGGUCUGUAUUGAGCAGAUUCUUUUUGGUAUUGGUUGGUGGAAUUGGAGCUUGCUCCAUCCACUCCAUGCAUUGACCUGGUAUUGCAGUGCUUCCAGGACUGGUGC